Molecule: microRNA precursor, 67 nt
Filed under: Bombyx mori (domestic silkworm)
Lineage: Eukaryota; Metazoa; Arthropoda; Insecta; Lepidoptera; Bombycidae
Description: mir-2774 microRNA precursor family
Rfam family: mir-2774 microRNA precursor family
Source: Rfam by way of RNAcentral
ACAACAUUCGGACCGUCGGUCUACCGAGCAAUAUCACGCGCUCGAUAGAAGAUCUUCCCUUCGUCGU